CGCAGGACUUGGACUUCAAGGAGCUCCCCUCCUCUGCCAUGGUAAAAGAGCCGGGAGGGGGAACCAAUCUGUAGGUGUGCAGAGCCAGCACUACCUUCGUCUAGGGCGCCGACUCUAUGAGGGAGGCAGCUGACUGCUAGUUGAGAGGGAGUGAGGGAGGUAGAGAUAUUAAAGGAAGGAAGGGGGGGCAUGGGGCAGAUAGACAUGGAUGGAAUGGAGAAAUGGGGGAGAGACAUGGAUGGAAGGGAGACAUUAGGGAGAGACAUGGAUGGAAGGGAGACAUGGGGGAGAGACAUGGAUGGAAGGGAGACAUGGGGGAGAGACAUGGAUGGAAGGGAGACAUGGGGGAGAGACAUGGAUGGAAGGGAGUGUGGCAAAAUUAGCCAUUUAAGGCUAUAUGCUGUAUAGGGUUGCCCAGAGGUUAAUUUGUGUAUGUAUUUAACCCCUUAAGGAACAAAUUUCUGGAAUAAAAGAGAAUCAUAACAUGUCACACGUCAUGUGUCCUUAAGGUGUUAAACCGCAGGUUUUACAUCUGUUCGUAUGUUAGAUGGCAUUCGUAUGCUGGCGGCACAAAAAGACACCAGCAUUAAUAUAAUAGUUUCACGAACUGGGUAUUUCAAUCCUGUUUGUGAAACGAACAAAGUACCGAAUGGGAGACCACACAGAGGGGGUCGUGUGUCUCCCAUUAAGAAUAGCAACAUUGUAUCAAGCUGCUUAAUGUGUUUUCCGGGUGGCCGCCGUUCGUGUACCGAACAUGUGGCGGCGGCCAAUUUUGAUCCCUCAAGCCCAGCGGCGUUUGGUCGUCAAGUGCCUGGAACUAAAAUCGGCUACUUGACGGCACGAACACCACUGGACUUUCAUACCGCUCGGGACAAUAAUUAUUUCCGUAUUGAUAUCUCCACAGUCCAUUUGUGUAUCGCUAUGUGUGUUCAUAUGAAAAUGUAUUUCGUCCGGCGUUCGGCUAAUUGUGCAGGGAUCUGAGCAGUAUUUCAAUAGAUGGUACGCUCAGAUCCCAGCUAUAUGCAAAGGUGUCAAUCAGUUAAAAGUACCGAACGGUGUGAAAGGUAUGGAUUUUUAUGUGAAAAUUUAUGAUCUGCUGUACUGAGAGAUAAUCCCAUUAACAGUACAUCUCUGGGUAAUUAUCUCUCUAGUACAGCAGUGUAUGAUGGGAAAUCAGCCUGUAAGCUAAAUCCCCCAUGUAGUCCACUACUGGACAACCCCUGUAAUGUGACUUUGGAAACCUUUUACAUGUGUAACUGCAUAAAUACUGUGACCUGUGAUUAAAAGUUCAGUUGACUCCCAGCCUAUGUGUCGUCUAGUUCUUGGGAGAAGAAAGGGAUUAUUAUAAUGCUACCUGGAUUAUUGUAUGCUGUUCCUGUCUACCAGCGGAGAUACUGUGGAUUACACUACCUCUCCGCUACAAUUGGUGGCAAGCGACGGGAUUUAAACCGUACAGCAAACCAGUGUUCAGCAGUGACCACACGAACAAAGAGGAGAAGCAGCAGUUAAGCAAGACAAACCAUUCGGAUAAAACCAGCGUUCAGUAAUACGUCAAAAUAUACGAACGACUGGUGAAUGGGACAAACUAUGCAGAAACGGACUACACUGAAGGAGUUAUUGGAAGCAAGAGGAGAAAGCACAAGAAAUAAAACAAAAGUGACCCUUGUGGCAGAACUCAUGGAGGGGGACAGAACAACCACUGCAGCGAACCCACAGGAGGCAGAACCCAGUGAAUUUACCAAGGAGCUCAAGAGCAGGAUAGCUUUUUAUGCAGAGCCCCCGCCCAGAGAGACAAUGGACAGAUUAAUGGCGGAUGUUCAGGAGUACCUGGUGGUCAAGCACCAAGCCACCCAGCGACCCGGGGAAAGAGCCCCAGCCCCCGCCAAUAACGCUACCCCCCCCAGAUACAACACACGUCCGCAAAUUCGUUGCUAAACCUGCAACCAGCAAGUGCAUAUUCAGCGAGACUGUCCCUGCAACCGACCCCGGCAAAACUGGAACAAUCCAGCUUCCAGCAACCGAGCAGCGGUACACUGUGUCCAAUCAGAACCGUAUGGAUCUCCCACAGUAGCAUCCCCCAUCAACGAACCUUUGGGGACUUUACACGAAGUCAACCCUGUCCAAGCUGCCUCAGAUAAUUGGCAAGGACAUCAGCAGGAGGUACACAUGGAGGGAAAGAAGGUACAAGGAUUGCAAGACUCCGGGGCCACCUUAACUUUGGUCCAUAACCACCUAGUACCAAAGAAUAUGUUAACUGGGGACUGUGUGGCAGUGCGAGUAGCAGGGGGAGCGAUUUACAAGGUUCCCACUGCCAGGGUACACUUGAAUUGGGGAGCGGGGCAAGGAAAUGUAGAUGUGGGCAUCAUGCAAGAUUUACCCGCUGAUGUUAUCUUGGGCAACAAUUUAGGGGAGCUAACUUCAGCGUUUGUGCACCAACCCACCAUGCAAGAAGCCUACCCCGUUGUUACCUGCCAGCAGGCCCGCACCACGGUUCCGUCUUACCCCACUGAGGCUCAGGUAAGCCAGGUUCCCCUGUUCUUCCCUGGGAUGCCCCCUGGCAUUUGGUAAUGAAGUGGCCUUAGAUCCCUCCCUGCAAGUAUAUAAAGACCGUAUAAACAAGGAUCAGGCAGGCUUAGAGGGGGAAAGAUACACCUGGGAUAAGGGGCUAUUGUACCGGCAGGCAGAAAAGGUAGUCGCCGGGUCUAUUCCCCUACCCAUUAAACAGUUCAUUGUUCCCCAUAAGUACCAGUUAGAGUUACUACAUAUCGCCCAUGAUAUCCCCCUAUCUGGGCACUUAAAAGUCAGCCGAACUAAGCAUCGGCUGACUCAGAACUUUUUCUGGCCAGGAUAUCCGACAAUACUGUCAGACCUGUGAUACCUGCCAGAGGGUAGGGGAAUGGGGAGACCGCUACAAAGCCAAGCUCCGUUCUCUACCUAUAAUUGAGGAACCAUUUAGCAGAAUAGCGGUAGACAUAAUAGGGCCCUUAGCGAAGCCUAGUCCCUCCGGCAAUAAGUAUGUAUUGACCGUAGUGGACUACGCCACCUGAUACCCAGAGGCGGUGGCUCUGACCAAUGUCCAUGCCGAGACAAUAGUGGAUGCCCUUAUGAAGAUAUUCUCAGAUAGAGGCACCCAAUUCACGGCGCAGGUUACCCAACAACUCUGGAAAGUAUGUGGGGUAAAGCCUAUCUUAAGGACCAAACUUCUGGAAUAAAAGGGAAUCAUGACAUGUCACACAUGUCAUGUGUCCUUAAGGGGUUAAACUCAGCAUACCACCCUCAGUCCAACGGGCUCUGUGAACGGUUUACUGGAACACUUAAACAGAUGAUCCGGACGUUCAUAGACACGUAGACACCCAGAAGGAUUGGGAGAGGUUUUUACCCCACUUACUGUUAGCGUAUAGGGAAGUCCCCCAGGAGUCCAUCGGUUCUCUCCCUUUGAAUUGUUAUUCGGGAGGAGAGUAAGGGGUCCCCUAGAUCUAAUCAGAGAACACUGGGAGGGGGAGUAGCAGCUAAUGAUACCCCCAUUGUCCCAUAUGUGCUAGAGUUUAGGGAACGCUUAGAGGUUCUGACCCAGACCGUGCGCGACAACCUCCAGGCGGCCCAACAACGGCAGCGCAGAUGGUACGAUAAGGGGACCAGGGACCGCAGCUUUCAGGUUGGGCAGAAGGUAUUGAUCCUCCGGCCCGCCCCCAAAAUGACAAGCUGCAGGCUUCCUGGCAGGGUCCAUACAAGGUGGUAGAGCAAAUAUGUGAUACCACCUAUGUGAUCGGCCCGUGCGCUGGCACAGGGGGCGAACGCAUGCUCCAUGUGAAUAUGCUGAAGCCCUACUACGCGCGCACCGAAGAGGUGACCGCGAUUUGCGCUUAGAUUCUGGAUCCACCCCUGCCUGUCACUUCAGGUAGACACCGGGCUCUCGAAAUAUCGAAAGAGUGAGUGACAGGCGUGGUGAGAAAGUGACACAGCAUGCAUCCUGUUUGGUCUUUCUUUCAAAGAGAUACCAAUCAGGACAGGCUCUGUGUCACUCUUUCACCAUGUCUGUAAAGCCCACCUACCGAGAGCGUGUGUGUGUGUCUCUCUCGCUAUAUCUGGGCACACUCUAAUACUUUGCAAUGACCAUGAUAUAAGUAUGUUCUGAUUGAGUAGUGGUUUGACUGUGUGGCAGACCACAAGGGUACAUAAAUAGUGGUCUUUUCUGCCAAAAAAAGGCACAAACCUCAUAGCACUCUCCACUGUACAAAAGGGGUAACACCUUCCCACCUCCAUAUAAAUGACUACUUUACUUGCCAUUUGGCUAGCAUAAUAUAUAAAUAGGAAGCAGAGGAGAUUUCAGCGGAUCUGUCAGAUUAAGCUUGGCUCUAUAGGGACAGGUUAGAAUCUAUCCGCUGGGUGAGAUAAUCUGUAUUUCAGUGUAACGAUGUAAGUUACAUAGCAUUCCAUCCUACACAGACAUGGUCGUGUCCUUAGAAUACCUUUGCUGCAGUUCUGUGUGCUUUCUCAGAGAAGCGACACACAGCAUCUCCCUAGCAUUCCGUUCCAGGCAGCCAGAGAUAGCUUUUCUACAAUGAUAACAAAUUGCAGGUGGACAUUCCAGACCGGUUGGCAAACUGCACGAUGUAAUGAGCCAUCUACAACAUCAAUUGUUUCCUUGGGUCACAAAAACAACAUUUUUAUUUCAUACAGACACAAAAAGCUAAUGCACACAUAAGGAUCUCAUUAAUUCCUGCAUUUUUAAUGGGCUGUUAAGGGGACAGGCAUGAGACAAUCUUACUUUGUAAUUCUUUAAAUUGGUCCUAAUGUCUCAAAAGUGCAAAUGUUCAGCUGCUGACUGCAAAAUGACCCUCGGCCCAUGCAUUGUUGCACAGCUUGCAUGACAUUUGAAGGUGGGUCACUCUGUCCCUUGCAUACAGAGCAGGGCCCACCAUUGCGGCAAGGUAGGAGAUUACGUAAGGCAGUGCUCCUCAACCCUCUCCUCAAGGCACAUCUAACAGUCCAGGAUUUAGGGAUAACCAAGUGUUUCUAUGGUGUUAAAAAAAAAAAACACCUCAAACACACCCGGGUAAGUCCUAAAUCCUGGACUGUUAGGUGUGCCUUGAGGAGAUGGUUGAGGAGCACUGACGAAAGGUACUGAUCAGCUUAUACUGGCUGUAGAUACUGCAUGCCUUCAAUGUUCACAGCACAAUGAUUGGACACAUUGUACAUAUUGGGGACCCGGAAUGGAAUCAUCUGCUCAGAAGCCCCACAUUACUAGAUAUGUUAUUCGUUCUGCAACACGUAUUAGGUCAUACACCGUAAUCCGACCUAAUACAGUAAAUAGAGAACUAAGUCUAAGAUGAGUGAGAGAACAGAGGACAUGGGCUCUGAGAAUGAGGGCUGGCGCCUCCAUCUAUUGGAUCCAGCAAUCCCAUCUCUCAAUAAUCAGCUUUUACAAUCAAAAAGAAAUUUCCUACAAGGUCUGUGGAUUCUUGAGGAAAUUGCAGGAGCACAGAACUAAAAUUUAGGCCUAAAUUAAUAUUUCUUCUCUUUGUCUAGAUACAGAAAGUCCUCAAUGUGAAGAUGCCAUUGGACCGACUGAAAGGAAUUAUCUAGAUAAAGUGCACAGAAUGUUCAAGGAUGGUGCAUGAAUAAUAUUCUUAUAUAUUAUGUCCUAUUAUUUUAUUACUUGUGCCCCUUUACAAGAUGUGUACAAAGGAAACUUCAAGGAUAUUUUUUGCUACCGUUUCCGGAGAACAUACUAAGUGAAGCCUCCACCAGCCAUUCCCAUUCAUUCAUGUAGUAAACCAAGAGGAAUUAGCCUGUUGGGCUAUCAUCUGCUCCCCAUCGCUGUGUACCUGGGUCACAAGCCUUCGGGUUGAUCCUUCAACAUGGCCCACACCCCAGGGACAUCAAUGCUACAUGCUUUCUGAGGGACUUUCCUUGGCACUGCCAGAUCCGGGGUCAGCGUGCGGUGGCUUUCAUAAAGGCAUGGGACUGGCCAAAUGAUUCAGCCUUGACUUCCUCCUGUUUAACAAACAACCUUGGGACUUGGACUUCCCUUAGGGGACCCAUACCAGCAGCUGGAGUGCUGUAUAUGACUGUACGUGCCAUACCAUCUUGCAAUUUUCGAUUGUCAUAUAUAAAUGUACAUGUUAUACCACAACACUACAAAUAAUUUUUGUCUAAAUAUGUCACUGCCAUACCAGUGCUUGUUACAUUUGUGC
RNAcentral lists this long non-coding RNA (6197 nucleotides) under Pelobates cultripes (western spadefoot toad). The record is from RNAcentral. Lineage: Eukaryota; Metazoa; Chordata; Amphibia; Anura; Pelobatidae.